UCCUCUGUAGUUCAGUCGGUAGAACGGCGGACUAUUAAUCCGUAUGUCACUGGUUCGAGUCCAGUCAGAGGAGCCA
This 76-nucleotide transfer RNA is filed under the name Escherichia coli. Its description in RNAcentral is "tRNA-Asn". It matches the Rfam family "tRNA". Rfam says of the family: Transfer RNA (tRNA) molecules are approximately 80 nucleotides in length. Their secondary structure includes four short double-helical elements and three loops (D, anti-codon, and T loops). Further hydrogen bonds mediate the characteristic L-shaped molecular structure. tRNAs have two regions of fundamental functional importance: the anti-codon, which is responsible for specific mRNA codon recognition, and the 3' end, to which the tRNAs corresponding amino acid is attached (by aminoacyl-tRNA synthetases). tRNAs cope with the degeneracy of the genetic code in two manners: having more than one tRNA (with a specific anti-codon) for a particular amino acid; and 'wobble' base-pairing, i.e. permitting non-standard base-pairing at the 3rd anti-codon position. The record is from RNAcentral. RNAcentral also lists the same sequence under 3 other names. Lineage: Bacteria; Pseudomonadati; Pseudomonadota; Gammaproteobacteria; Enterobacterales; Enterobacteriaceae.